This is a small nuclear RNA of Cricetulus griseus (Chinese hamster), 94 nucleotides long. The record is from Ensembl. NCBI's taxonomy places the organism in Eukaryota, Metazoa, Chordata, Mammalia, Rodentia, Cricetidae.
GUGCUCGAUUUGGCAGCACAUAUACUAAAAUUGGAAGAUACAGAGAUGAUUAGCAUGGCCCCUAAGGAUAACACAUGAAGUAUUCCAUAUUUGA